This is a long non-coding RNA of Daktulosphaira vitifoliae (grape phylloxera), 625 nucleotides long. RefSeq lists it as uncharacterized. The transcript has 3 exons. NCBI's taxonomy places the organism in Eukaryota, Metazoa, Arthropoda, Insecta, Hemiptera, Phylloxeridae. The record is from RefSeq and is a predicted model, not a curated record.
AAAUAAUAUUUAAGUUUCGAUGUUUAUACGACUUACGCUCCUAUUGUACCUAUUUUGUCAACGAUAAGUCAAAAGAUCACGAAACGCAUCUAGUUGAAGCUACUUAUUUUUUUCUAAAUAUAAAUUGUGACACUAAUAAAAAAACUAGAAAAUGUAAUUUUUACUUAAAUAUGCCGUUCGCAAGGUGACGGAAUAUUUUGUUCGUCGAAUUAAAUUUCUGCAGUAUUUUUCACUUAAUUUAUCAAACUAUAAAGAUUUGGCCAAAUAAUUAAAAUAAAACAGAAAUUAUGGACCAGCCUUAUACAGAAAGUAUAUUUUAUACCAUCAAGUCAAAAUAAUUCAAUGCAAAAGGAAAAUUAGUGGAAUGUUGGGGAAAUGUUGUACGCCAGCUUCUGAGCAUAGGGGAAAGAAAACAAAAACUUCUCUGUAACAUUACCAAUUUUAACAUUUUCUGAUGAAGCUGAAUCAGAAAAAGUUUGGUUAAGGACAUUUGGGUAAUCUUCUAACUUUGAUGAGUUAAAAAAAAACACUGGAAAUUAACUUAUGAAAUAAGAAAGGCUGAAAUUUGAGGUUUAAACAGCAUUACUGGUCGUCAUUUGUCUGAAAAUUUUAAAUCAUGGCCUAU